GAUGAACGCUGGCGGCGUGCCUAAUACAUGCAAGUCGAACGCUUCACAUCGGUGAAGAGUGGCGAACGGGUGAGUAAUACAUAAGUAACCUGGCAUCUACAGGGGGAUAACUGAUGGAAACGUCAGCUAAGACCGCAUAGGUGUAGAGAUCGCAUGAACUCUAUAUGAAAAGUGCUACGGGACUGGUAGAUGAUGGACUUAUGGCGCAUUAGCUUGUUGGUAGGGUAACGGCCUACCAAGGCGACGAUGCGUAGCCGACCUGAGAGGGUGACCGGCCACACUGGGACUGAGACACGGCCCAGACUCCUACGGGAGGCAGCAGUAGGGAAUUUUCGGCAAUGGGGGAAACCCUGACCGAGCAACGCCGCGUGAAGGAAGAAGUAAUUCGUUAUGUAAACUUCUGUCAUAGAGGAAGAACGGUGGAUAUAGGGAAUGAUAUC
This 440-nucleotide ribosomal RNA is filed under the name uncultured bacterium. RNAcentral's name for it is "bacterial SSU rRNA". It matches the Rfam family "Bacterial small subunit ribosomal RNA", at positions 28 to 466 of the family's 1533-position model. The record is from RNAcentral.